GGAGGUAGUGACAAUAAAUCACAAUGCGGGACUUCUGUUUCGCAAUUGGAUUGAGAACAACGCACAACACUUAUCGAUAAACAAUUGGAGGGCAAGUCUGGUGCCAGCAGCCGCGGUAAUUCCAGCUCCAAUAGCGUAUAUUAACGUUGUUGCAGUUAAAAAGCUCGUAGUUGAAGUGAAGUAAUGAAGUUGUGAUUUGAAAUUUUUCAUUUCGCUUCUUAAUUACUCUUUCCAAAUUGUUUGCAUGGGUAUUCAUUUAUCUGUGUAUUGCAUUUGGUCAUUUACUGUGAGAAAAUUAGAGUGUUCAAAGCAUACGUUUGUUUGAAUACAUUAGCAUGGAAUAAUUCGAAAAGGCUUUCAUGUUCGAUUUGAUUGGUUUGUUCGUGAGAGCAAGAUUAAAAGGGACAGUUGGGGGUAUUCAUAUUCAAUAGUCAGAGGUGAAAUUCUCGGAUUUAUGGAAGAUGAACAAGUGCGAAAGCAA
This 481-nucleotide ribosomal RNA is filed under the name Blastocystis sp. subtype 10. RNAcentral describes it as "bacterial SSU rRNA". It matches the Rfam family "Eukaryotic small subunit ribosomal RNA", at positions 460 to 954 of the family's 1831-position model. The record is from RNAcentral. Lineage: Eukaryota; Bigyra; Opalinata; Blastocystidae.